AGAGUUUGAUCCUGGCUCAGGACGAACGCUGGCGGCGUGCCUAACACAUGCAAGUCGAGCGAUGAAACCCUUCGGGGUGGAUUAGCGGCGGACGGGUGAGUAACACGUGGGUAACCUGCCUCAAAGAGGGGGAUAGCCUCCCGAAAGGGAGAUUAAUACCGCAUAACAUUAGUUUUUCGCAUGAAGAACUAAUUAAAGGAGCAAUCCGCUUUGAGAUGGACCCGCGGCGCAUUAGCUAGUUGGUGAGGUAACGGCUCACCAAGGCGACGAUGCGUAGCCGACCUGAGAGGGUGAUCGGCCACAUUGGAACUGAGACACGGUCCAGACUCCUACGGGAGGCAGCAGUGGGGAAUAUUGCACAAUGGGCGAAAGCCUGAUGCAGCAACGCCGCGUGAGUGAUGAAGGCCUUCGGGUUGUAAAGCUCUGUCUUUGGGGACGAUAAUGACGGUACCCAAGGAGGAAGCCACGGCUAACUACGUGCCAGCAGCCGCGGUAAUACGUAGGUGGCGAGCGUUGUCCGGAUUUACUGGGCGUAAAGGAUGCGUAGGCGGAUGUUUAAGUGAGAUGUGAAAUACCCGAGCUUAACUUGGGUGCUGCAUUUCAAACUGGAUAUCUAGAGUGCGGGAGAGGAGAAUGGAAUUCCUAGUGUAGCGGUGAAAUGCGUAGAGAUUAGGAAGAACACCAGUGGCGAAGGCGAUUCUCUGGACCGUAACUGACGCUGAGGCAUGAAAGCGUGGGGUAGCAAACAGGAUUAGAUACCCUGGUAGUCCACGCCGUAAACGAUGAGUACUAGGUGUAGGA
RNAcentral lists this ribosomal RNA (801 nucleotides) under uncultured bacterium. Its description in RNAcentral is "bacterial SSU rRNA". It matches the Rfam family "Bacterial small subunit ribosomal RNA", at positions 8 to 827 of the family's 1533-position model. The record is from RNAcentral.